RNAcentral lists this transfer RNA (63 nucleotides) under Rhomboptera ligata. RNAcentral's name for it is "tRNA-Thr". It matches the Rfam family "tRNA". From Rfam's summary of the family: Transfer RNA (tRNA) molecules are approximately 80 nucleotides in length. Their secondary structure includes four short double-helical elements and three loops (D, anti-codon, and T loops). Further hydrogen bonds mediate the characteristic L-shaped molecular structure. tRNAs have two regions of fundamental functional importance: the anti-codon, which is responsible for specific mRNA codon recognition, and the 3' end, to which the tRNAs corresponding amino acid is attached (by aminoacyl-tRNA synthetases). tRNAs cope with the degeneracy of the genetic code in two manners: having more than one tRNA (with a specific anti-codon) for a particular amino acid; and 'wobble' base-pairing, i.e. permitting non-standard base-pairing at the 3rd anti-codon position. Lineage: Eukaryota; Metazoa; Arthropoda; Insecta; Orthoptera; Tettigoniidae. The record is from RNAcentral.
GCUUUGAUAGUUUAAUAAAAACAUUGGUCUUGUAAACCAAAAUUAAGAUACACUUUUUAAGCU